GAUGAACGCUGGCGGCGUGCCUAAUACAUGCAAGUCGAGCGAACGGACGUGAAGCUUGCUUCUCUGAUGUUAGCGGCGGACGGGUGAGUAACACGUGGAUAACCUACCUAUAAGACUGGGAUAACUUCGGGAAACCGGAGCUAAUACCGGAUGAUAUUUUGAACCGCAUGGUUCAAAAGUGAAAGACGGUCUUGCUGUCACUUAUAGAUGGAUCCGCGCUGCAUUAGCUAGUUGGUAAGGUAACGGCUUACCAAGGCAACGAUGCAUAGCCGACCUGAGAGGGUGAUCGGCCACACUGGAAUUGAGACACGGUCCAGACUCCUACGGGAGGCAGCAGUAGGGAAUCUUCCGCAAUGGGCGAAAGCCUGACGGAGCAACGCCGCGUGAGUGAUGAAGGUCUUCGGAUCGUAAAACUCUGUUAUUAGGGAAGAACAUAUGUGUAAGUAACUGUGCACAUCUUGACGGUACCUAAUCAGAAAGCCACGGCUAACUACGUG
RNAcentral lists this ribosomal RNA (497 nucleotides) under uncultured bacterium. RNAcentral describes it as "partial 16S ribosomal RNA". It matches the Rfam family "Bacterial small subunit ribosomal RNA", at positions 28 to 507 of the family's 1533-position model. The record is from RNAcentral.